This 2888-nucleotide ribosomal RNA is filed under the name Vibrio alginolyticus. Its description in RNAcentral is "23S ribosomal RNA". It matches the Rfam family "Bacterial large subunit ribosomal RNA". The record is from RNAcentral. Lineage: Bacteria; Pseudomonadati; Pseudomonadota; Gammaproteobacteria; Vibrionales; Vibrionaceae.
UUAAGUGACUAAGCGUACACGGUGGAUGCCUUGGCAGUCAGAGGCGAUGAAAGACGUAGUAACUUGCGAUAAGCCCAGAUUAGGUAGUAACAACCAUUUGAGUCUGGGAUUUCUGAAUGGGGAAACCCACGUGCAUAAGCACGUAUCCUUACCUGAAUACAUAGGGUAAGGAGGCGAACCGGGGGAACUGAAACAUCUAAGUACCCCGAGGAAAAGAAAUCAACCGAGAUUCCGAAAGUAGCGGCGAGCGAAAUUGGACUAGCCCUUAAGCUUUACACGCGUUAGACGAACGGUCUGGAAAGUCCGACGAUACAGGGUGAUAGUCCCGUAGUUGACGACGUGUGUUCAGUGAAAUCGAGUAGGGCGGGACACGUGAUAUCCUGUCUGAAUAUGGGGGGACCAUCCUCCAAGGCUAAAUACUACUGACUGACCGAUAGUGAACCAGUACCGUGAGGGAAAGGCGAAAAGAACCCCUGUGAGGGGAGUGAAAUAGAACCUGAAACCGUGUACGUACAAGCAGUAGGAGCAGGCUUUGUCCUGUGACUGCGUACCUUUUGUAUAAUGGGUCAGCGACUUAUAUUCAGUGGCAAGGUUAACCAUCUAGGGGAGCCGUAGGGAAACCGAGUCUUAACUGGGCGUUCAGUCUCUGGAUAUAGACCCGAAACCAGGUGAUCUAGCCAUGGGCAGGUUGAAGGUUGAGUAACAUCAACUGGAGGACCGAACCGACUAAUGUUGAAAAAUUAGCGGAUGACUUGUGGCUAGGGGUGAAAGGCCAAUCAAACCUGGAGAUAGCUGGUUCUCCCCGAAAGCUAUUUAGGUAGCGCCUCGGACGAAUACUACUGGGGGUAGAGCACUGUUAAGGCUAGGGGGUCAUCCCGACUUACCAACCCUUUGCAAACUCCGAAUACCAGUAAGUACUAUCCGGGAGACACACGGCGGGUGCUAACGUCCGUCGUGGAGAGGGAAACAACCCAGACCGCCAGCUAAGGUCCCAAAUUACUACUAAGUGGGAAACGAUGUGGGAAGGCUCAGACAGCCAGGAUGUUGGCUUAGAAGCAGCCAUCAUUUAAAGAAAGCGUAAUAGCUCACUGGUCGAGUCGGCCUGCGCGGAAGAUGUAACGGGGCUAAGUAGUAAACCGAAGCUGCGGCAAUGUGCUUUUGCACAUUGGGUAGGGGAGCGUUCUGUAAGCGGUUGAAGGUGUGUGGUAACGCAUGCUGGACGUAUCAGAAGUGCGAAUGCUGACAUGAGUAACGAUAAAGGGGGUGAAAAACCUCCUCGCCGGAAGACCAAGGGUUCCUGUCCAACGUUAAUCGGGGCAGGGUAAGUCGACCCCUAAGGCGAGGCCGAAAGGCGUAGUCGAUGGGAAACGGGUUAAUAUUCCCGUACUUCUUACAAUUGCGAUGGGGGGACGGAGAAGGCUAGGUGGGCCUGGCGACGGUUGUCCAGGUUCAAGUGCGUAGGCUUAAGAGUUAGGUAAAUCCGGCUCUUUUUAAGGCUGAGACACGACGUCGAGCACCUACGGGUGUGAAGUCAUUGAUGCCAUGCUUCCAGGAAAAGCCUCUAAGCUUCAGAUUGUAAGGAAUCGUACCCCAAACCGACACAGGUGGUCGGGUAGAGAAUACCAAGGCGCUUGAGAGAACUCGGGUGAAGGAACUAGGCAAAAUGGUACCGUAACUUCGGGAGAAGGUACGCUCUUGAUGGUGAAGUCCCUUGCGGAUGGAGCUGACGAGAGUCGCAGAUACCAGGUGGCUGCAACUGUUUAUUAAAAACACAGCACUGUGCAAAAUCGUAAGAUGACGUAUACGGUGUGACGCCUGCCCGGUGCCGGAAGGUUAAUUGAUGGGGUUAGACUUCGGUCGAAGCUCUUGAUCGAAGCCCCGGUAAACGGCGGCCGUAACUAUAACGGUCCUAAGGUAGCGAAAUUCCUUGUCGGGUAAGUUCCGACCUGCACGAAUGGCGUAAUGAUGGCCACGCUGUCUCCACCCGAGACUCAGUGAAAUUGAAAUCGCUGUGAAGAUGCAGUGUACCCGCGGCUAGACGGAAAGACCCCGUGAACCUUUACUACAGCUUGGCACUGAACAUUGACCCUACAUGUGUAGGAUAGGUGGGAGGCUUUGAAGCACGUACGCCAGUAUGUGUGGAGCCGUCCUUGAAAUACCACCCUUGUAGUGUUGAUGUUCUAACGUCGACCCCUUAUCGGGGUUGCGGACAGUGCCUGGUGGGUAGUUUGACUGGGGCGGUCUCCUCCCAAAGAGUAACGGAGGAGCACGAAGGUGGGCUAAUCACGGUUGGACAUCGUGAGGUUAGUGCAAUGGCAUAAGCCCGCUUGACUGCGAGAAUGACAAUUCGAGCAGGUGCGAAAGCAGGUCAUAGUGAUCCGGUGGUUCUGAAUGGAAGGGCCAUCGCUCAACGGAUAAAAGGUACUCCGGGGAUAACAGGCUGAUACCGCCCAAGAGUUCAUAUCGACGGCGGUGUUUGGCACCUCGAUGUCGGCUCAUCACAUCCUGGGGCUGAAGUCGGUCCCAAGGGUAUGGCUGUUCGCCAUUUAAAGUGGUACGCGAGCUGGGUUUAGAACGUCGUGAGACAGUUCGGUCCCUAUCUGCCGUGGGCGUUGGAAGAUUGAAGGGGGCUGCUCCUAGUACGAGAGGACCGGAGUGGACGAACCUCUGGUGUUCGGGUUGUGUCGCCAGACGCAUUGCCCGGUAGCUAAGUUCGGAAUCGAUAACCGCUGAAAGCAUCUAAGCGGGAAGCGAGCCCUGAGAUGAGUCUUCCCUGAUACUUUAAGUAUCCUAAAGGGUUGUCGGAGACUACGACGUUGAUAGGUCAGGUGUGUAAGUGCUGUGAGGCAUUGAGCUAACUGAUACUAAUUGCCCGUGAGGCUUAACCA